AUUGAACGCUGGCGGCAGGCCUAACACAUGCAAGUCGAGCGGAUGAAGGGAGCUUGCUCCUGAAUUCAGCGGCGGACGGGUGAGUAAUGCCUAGGAAUCUGCCUGGUAGUGGGGGAUAACGUCCGGAAACGGGCGCUAAUACCGCAUACGUCCUGAGGGAGGAAGUGGGGGAUCUUCGGAUCUCACGCUAUCAGAUGAGCCUAGGUCGGAUUAGCUAGUUGGUGGGGUAAAGGCCUACCAAGGCGCCGAUCCGUAACUGGUCUGAGAGGAUGAUCAGUCACACUGGAACUGAGACACGGUCCUGAGUCCGACGGGAGGCAGCAGUGGGGAAUAUUGGACAAUGGGCGAAAGCCUGAUCCAUCCAUGCCGCGUGUGUGAAGAAAGUCUUCGGAUUGUAAAGCGCUUUAAGUUUGGAGGAAGGGCAGUAAGUUAAUACCUUGCUGUUUUGACGUUACCAACAGAAUAAGCACCGGCUAACUUCGUG
Molecule: ribosomal RNA, 484 nt
Filed under: uncultured bacterium
Lineage: Bacteria
Description: partial 16S ribosomal RNA
Rfam family: Bacterial small subunit ribosomal RNA
Source: RNAcentral